This 398-nucleotide ribosomal RNA is filed under the name uncultured bacterium. Its description in RNAcentral is "partial 16S ribosomal RNA". It matches the Rfam family "Bacterial small subunit ribosomal RNA", at positions 523 to 918 of the family's 1533-position model. The record is from RNAcentral.
AUACGUAGGGUGCGAGCGUUGUCCGGAAUUACUGGGCGUAAAGAGCUCGUAGGUGGUUUGUCGCGUCGUCUGUGAAAUUCCGGGGCUUAACUCCGGGCGUGUAGGCGAUACGGGCAUAACUUGAGUACUGUAGGGGAGACUGGAAUUCCUGGUGUAGCGGUGAAAUGCGCAGAUAUCAGGAGGAACACCGGUGGCGAGGGCGGGUCUCUGGGCAGUAACUGACGCUGAGGAGCGAAAGCAUGGGUAGCGAACAGGAUUAGAUACCCUGGUAGUCCAUGCCGUAAACGGUGGGCGCUAGGUGUAGGGGUCUUCCACGACUUCUGUGCCGUAGCUAACGCAUUAAGCGCCCCGCCUGGGGAGUACGGCCGCAAGGCUAAAACUCAAAUGAAUUGACGGGG